Molecule: long non-coding RNA, 3398 nt
Organism: Girardinichthys multiradiatus
Lineage: Eukaryota; Metazoa; Chordata; Actinopteri; Cyprinodontiformes; Goodeidae
Exons: 3
Source: RefSeq, a predicted model, not a curated record
AGAAAAUGAUGUGCCAUUAGAAGUGGGAGUGUGUUUGGCAGGCAGAGAGAUGGCAGAUUUAGGGCGAGUUAUUGAUUGGAAAAGUGGGGUCUGUCACAGCACAUUAGUUCUCAGGGGAGUAAUCCACAGCAGGUUGCUGCGAGAAGCAUCUGCUGCCGGAGAGAAGUAAUUAAAAACAGGAUGUUGAGGCAGUUGCCAUAUAAACAGGAAAUAAGACGGUGGUAAUAGACACUUCACGCUGAUGCUGUGAGAUGGUUUUACAUCGCGUCGACUUUAAUGGAUGCAGAGCGCAUGCUUCAGGUGAAACUCUCAAGGGUCUCCUAUCCGCUCAACCCCCCAGUCAGCUGAAGCAGAAGUCCGUUCACACUGAACCUUGUUCUCAUUAAGGUUUCUACCUGUUAAAAGUGCAGUUCAACCACAAUAUCAGAUAUGAUCUCUGGUUGUUUUUUCUUUUCAUCUUUCUGUUCAGUUUCUUUGAAACAAAUGAGCUCAUGCAAAUGCAGUGUAGUAAACCAGAUGUUAGUGCUGAUAUGAGUAAUCAUCUGAGAUGGCAGUCAUCACCAGCUCUUUCUGUUUACAUUGGGGCAUUUUGCUCCUAAUAUAUGUGAAAUGGAAACAAUGCUACAAAGUGAACUUAAAGUUCGGUUUUGAAUUUUACAGAGCUUUAAGUGAACAUUGGGAUUUUACUAUGUGAUACAAAGUAGUUCAUAAUGGUAAUGUAAAAGAAAAAAGAUACAUGGUUUUCAACGUUUGUUAUAAACAGAAAUCUAAAACGUGUGGUCUGUGUUCAUCUCUCUGUACUCUGAUACCCCUAAAUAACAUUGUGUUCAGCUAAUUGCCGUUGGAAGUCACCUAAUUAAUAAAUAGCGUCAAUCUGUGAGAAAUUUUGUCUCAGUAUGAAUCCUGUUGUUUUGUAAAGGCCUUAGAGGUCCAUUAUGUCACAACUUGUGAGUUUGUAGCACCAAACCUGUCAUGAUCUGAGGGUAUUUGAGUUUUGUUUUGGACCUUGUUCAUGAUUGUCUUCCAUGUGGUGCUUUGGUUCAUUUAUUUUAAGUUUAGUUUCUUGUUCCAAUGUUUUCUAGGUGACACUUUAGCUCCUUAUUUAUUCUUGUAUUUUGUUCAUCGUGCAUUUUAGUUUAUGUUCUGUAAGAUCUUCCUUUGGUUAGAUUGUUUUAUUGCUUCUCUGUUCAGCCCAUUCAUGUCCUUGUUUCCACUCCCUGCCUCAGUCAGCUUGAAAUAAGCUUCAUCUGUUCCACCUGCACUUUGCCAAUUAGUCUCCUAUCUUCACCUGUACAUAUACUCCUCUGGUCUGUUCAUUCCUUGCUGGAUCAUUAUAUCACUGUCACCCAUGUCAAGUCUGUCUGGGGCGGUUGCUACACCAAAGCCUUGGUUCCAUGUUCAGCCCUCCUCAUGCCUGCUUGUAAGUUUUCUUUUAUUUUGUAUUAAACGUUGUUAUUUCACAUCUGCUCCUGCCUGUCUGUAUGUGGGUCAUACUCCUGAAACCAGUUCGACAAAACCAAAGUGCAGACAGGAGUUUGAGAUUGUAGGAACCAAAAUAUCAUUUUGUAACAUUGUUUAUUAUUGUGUAUGAUGAUUGUGUACCAGUUCUACAUUUGGAUAUUUCAUUAACAGUAAGUCACUUUUUCCUAUGUUUUUGUGUAAAAGUGGCCUCUAGUGGAUGUACUUGAAGAUUGUCGGAAAAUGAUAAAUGGCCUGCACUUGUGUAGCUCUUAAUCAAGUCCAAAGACUCCAAAGCGCCUUACACUACCAUCAGCCUUCCACCCAUUCAUACACACAUUCACAAGCUGACAGUGGUAAGCUACAUUGUAGCCCUGGGGCAGACUGGCAGCAGUGAGGCUGCCAAACAAUCAUUGCCACACUGACCACAAUCAGCAGGCAAGGCAGUUAAAGUGUCUUACACAACAACUGAGAUGAACGGAGCGGAGGUUCACACUUGCAACCCACUGGAUGUGUAGGAUGAACACCUACCACCAUUUAUCAGACUUUGUGUGGAUGGUUGCAAGUAUUUCUAGAAUUCAUUAAAGAAACAUGCACCAUAGGAAACUACGGAACAGGAACGUGUCAAUUAAAAACCAAACCAAUGGAAUUGAACCAGAAGAAACUGGUUUCUUUGACCAAUAACUUCUUUGACUUGAACUUCAAAGUGUAAAGAAACCACUACAAGCAUGAAGAUGAAUGAUUUAAUGAAAAUCAAACACAAGGUUGCGGGCAAAAUAUGAUGAGAACAGGAAAAGAAACUGGACAGGAUAAAACAUAAGAAACCAGCAAGGAACAAUGAAAACCAGAAAGCUGAAAGGCUGAGGAGGAGUGAAGAGUGAGAUUGAAGCCAUGUGAGUCUAAUCAGAGGAAUGCUGAACAGCUGAGGAAGAGUACUGAGCUGGGAAACUGAGGGAAGGUAAAUAAUAAACAGAGAAGAUGACUGACAUAGGACUCCAAAGCAAAAUGCAGAGAGAACAAAAGCAAAUGAUUUAUUUAAGAAACUAAACUGAAUGAACUACAUGGCAAGUCCCUAACAACAAUGAUGCACAACACAGAAAAAUGAACUGAUUAUAAGAAGACCUCUCUGACAAUAACAGACAGCCCAGAAAUGAUCAGAAAACAAACAACAGAAAAGCAACAUACAAACACCAACGGAUUAUAUGUUGGAGAACAUCAGUGAACAAACAGGAUUAUGAAGACCAAGAAAUACAACAGAAAAGUCAGAGAUAAAGUUGUGGAGCAGUUUAAAACGGGGUUGUGUUAUGAACCAAUAUCCCAAGCUUUAAACAUCUCACAGAGCACUGUUCAGUGCAUUGAUGGAGCACUCACCAGAGACCUAGCCAAGAAGCUCAUGGUAAUGCCUAGAAGAAAGCCACUGUCUAAUGAAAACCGAGUUUGCAGUUGACCACGAGCUAGGUAGGGACACAGCAAACGUGGAAAAAAAAAACAGACCCAUUCCCAUUGUUAAAUGAAGUAAUGGCAGAAGGCUUUGCAACAUCCAGAAUGUACAGAAUUUCAGAAAAAAUCUUUUCCUGCUUUGCUGCAGAUUAACAUGUUUAAAGUCUCAAAAUCUACAGCUAGUAAUUCUUUAAUAAACAGUUGUGUCACUAUUGCUGGAAAGGGGAAACAGGCAUUUGCACUUUAUGAAGACUUUCUUUUAUUUUACACAAUUUUCAAAUAUAACAGAGACAUAGCCAGAUGAUAUUAUUUAUAAAAAUUCUUACAAUAUGACACCAUGUUUUAUUUAUGUUAAAAAGAUACAAAACACAACAGGAUACUUGCUGUACAGUAGGGGUCAAUGACUUCAUGAAGAACCAUCUCAGAUUCUGUGAGAGGAAUCCUUAUUUGUGAAUGAGUUGGGUAUAAACGAGUCGAAAUCUGAGAUUGGGGAUUGGAAA